Long non-coding RNA from Notolabrus celidotus (New Zealand spotty), 485 nucleotides. RefSeq lists it as uncharacterized. The record is from RefSeq and is a predicted model, not a curated record. NCBI's taxonomy places the organism in Eukaryota, Metazoa, Chordata, Actinopteri, Labriformes, Labridae. The transcript has 4 exons.
AAUAUAAAGAUGCUGGAGUCCAACACACCCUGGAUAUGUGGCAUAGAUCCAAGAGCUUGAGCAAGAAAAUCCAUGCAGCUGGACUGCAAAGUGAGUGCAAUAUUCUGCAGACUUUGAACAAGGACAUCUGUGACCACUUUUGGUAUUGUUGCAAGACUGCAGAUCACUAUAAAGAGUUCUUUGACAACAUGCCUGGGCCUUUGGGGCCUGUCAGCAUGGUCCCUGGAGGACACAGAGUAGGAGUGGAUCCAGACGAACUCUGUGGCACACCAGAGACUGACUAAUAGUUCUUGAUGAACGCUGGCUGAAGAACGUCUACAAAUAUCUCCAUUUCAGGUCAACUGUAGAGCUGGAGUCCUUCCACAACCACAUUCUAAUGUAUGCAAGCAAACGCUUCAGCUUCUCUCCACCAGUGUACAAAGCUGGAGUCAUGCUGGCUGGCCUGGACAACAACCACCACCUUCACAGAGCAGCCAAGAGAACGG